CUCUCACUGCUGUGGCUGAUGGAGGAGAAGCAUGUCUCUGUAUCAUGCUCCCUCGCAGCUCCAGUACAGAGACAUGCUCCUCUUCCAUCAGCCACAGCAGUGACAGGAG
Molecule: non-coding RNA, 109 nt
Organism: Pelobates cultripes (western spadefoot toad)
Lineage: Eukaryota; Metazoa; Chordata; Amphibia; Anura; Pelobatidae
Source: the annotation of a GenBank genome assembly